GAGCCCGCACAAGCAGUGGAGUAUGUGGAUUAAUUCGAUGCAACGCGAAGAACCUUACCAGGGCUUGACAUCCCGCGGAUCCGUGAUAACGAUCGGAGUGCCCUUCGGGGAACGCGGAGACAGGUGGUGCAUGGUUGUCGUCAGCUCGUGUCGUGAGAUGUUGGGUUAAGUCCCGCAACGAGCGCAACCCUUACGAUUAGUUGCUACGGGAAGAGCACUCUAAUUGGACUGCCGUUGGCAAAACGGAGGAAGGUGGGGAUGACGUCAAAUCAUCAUGCCCCUUACGUUCUGGGCUUCACACGUACUACAAUGGCGCAAACAGAGGGAAGCGAAGCCGCGAGGCGGAGCGAAUCCCAAAAAAGGCGUCCCAGUUCGGACUGCAGGCUGCAACUCGCCUGCACGAAGUCGGAAUUGCUAGUAAUCGCGGAUCAGCAUGCCGCGGUGAAUACGUUCCCGGGCUUU
RNAcentral lists this ribosomal RNA (462 nucleotides) under uncultured bacterium. RNAcentral describes it as "bacterial SSU rRNA". It matches the Rfam family "Bacterial small subunit ribosomal RNA", at positions 917 to 1382 of the family's 1533-position model. The record is from RNAcentral.